GACUUGGACUGGCCGCCAGGGUCCGGAAGAGGAGCGAGUUCACUCGAUCAUCUACGUUACGUGGGUGGUGGGGAGCGACGAGCUCUGGGUUACUGUGAAGAAAUUAGAGUGUUUAAAGCAGGCAGGAAAGCUUGAAUAGACGAGCAUGGAAUAACAAGAUAGGACAUUGAGAGCCUCUUGUUGGUGAAGGGGGACGGAUGUAAUGAUUAAUAGGGUCAGUUGGGGGCAUUAGUAUUCAGUAGUCAGAGGUGAAAUUCUUGGAUUUACUGAAGACUAACUAGUGCGAAAGCAUUUGCCAAGGAUGUUUUCAUUAAUCAAGAACGAAAGUUAGGGGAUCGAAGACGAUCAGAUACCGUCGUAGUCUUAACUAUAAACGAUGCCGACUAAGGAUCGGCAGGGGUCGGUUAGCGACACUGUCGGGACUUUGUGAGAAAUCAAAGUUUAUGGGUUCUGGGGGGAGUAUGGUCGCAAGGCUGAAACUUAAAGGAAUUGACGGAAGGGCACCACCAGGAGUGGAGCCUGCGGCUUAAUUUGACUCAACACGGGAAAACUCACCAGGUCCGGACAUGGUAAGGAUUGACAGAUUGAGAGCUCUUUCUUGAUUCUGUGGGUGGUGGUGCAUGGCCGUUCUUAGUUGGUGGAGUGAUUUGUCUGGUUAAUUCCGAUAACGAACGAGACCUUGACCUGCUAACUAGAUGCUAGUACGAGAGUAUUGGUAGACUUCUUAGAGGGACUGACUA
This 740-nucleotide ribosomal RNA is filed under the name uncultured eukaryote. RNAcentral describes it as "bacterial SSU rRNA". It matches the Rfam family "Eukaryotic small subunit ribosomal RNA", at positions 663 to 1426 of the family's 1831-position model. The record is from RNAcentral.